UAGGGAAUCUUCGGCAAUGGACGAAAGUCUGACCGAGCAACGCCGCGUGAGUGAAGAAGGUUUUCGGAUCGUAAAACUCUGUUGUUAGAGAAGAACAAGGACGUUAGUAACUGAACGUCACCUGACGGUAUCUAACCAGAAAGCCACGGCUAACUACGUGCCAGCAGCCGCGGUAAUACGUAGGUGGCAAGCGUUGUCCGGAUUUGUUGGGCGUAAAGCGAGCGUAGGCGGUUACUUAAGUCUGAAGUGAAAGCCCCCGGCUCAACCGGGGAGGGUCAUUGGAAACUAGGAGACUUGAGUGCAGGAGGGGGGAGUGGAAUUCCAUGUGUAGCGGUGAAUUGCGUAGAGAUAGGGAGGAACACCAGUGGGGAAGGCGGCUCUCUGGUCUGUAACUGCCGCUGAGGCACGAAAGCGUGGGGAGCAAACAGG
This 429-nucleotide ribosomal RNA is filed under the name Gemmatimonadota bacterium. RNAcentral's name for it is "Gemmatimonadetes bacterium partial 16S ribosomal RNA". It matches the Rfam family "Bacterial small subunit ribosomal RNA", at positions 355 to 776 of the family's 1533-position model. Lineage: Bacteria; Pseudomonadati; Gemmatimonadota. The record is from RNAcentral.